ACUGGAAUUGUUUGUGAUUAGCAGUGAGUCAAAGGGAACAUUGCAAGGUUUGGGGUUGGGGUUCUUUCCUUUCUGACUUAUGCUAUUCUCCCUUAUAAGGUUUUGUUUUGCUGUUUAUUAUGUGCAGUUUAGCUCUUCUGUCCCCCCACACGGCUUGGUGGGUUUUUAUAAUAGUGUGAGUUGAUGGGCUUUAAAAUCGUAAGCUAUCAUUUUCUAGUUUUUUUCUUCUAAAAACAGUCCACCUCCCUUAAGCUUAGCUCUAGAGUUCUUUAAAUAAAACUCGAAUUGAAGAAAUAGUCAUAUUUCUGACGAGCUGUGAGACUUACCAAGGUCACUUUUGUUUGCUGUAUCACUUAAAAUACAAUUUCACUUACAAUUGCCUGGCAUGGAUGAGUGCAUUUUUUAAAUGUACAUAAUACUUUUUGACAUUUGGAAAUGAGAAGCUAUGAAAAUAAGGUUGAUAAACCAGUAAAGAAGUCUUUCCUUAAAUGGUCACAAUCUGCCAAGAGCUGAUAAGGAAAAGGAUCCUGUGGGGACAAUGACAAGAAACUUACAGCCAUCAACCCCAUGUCAGCACUGGGCGAGAAAACAAAUAGAAUUCCAGACAAUUCAGAACAAAUACUACAAAUCAGAGAUGAUCCCCAAACCUCCUUUCAAUCUGACCCUUUUGAAAGACAACUAAGAAGCACAAAGGACAUUGGACAACUCCACACGAAUAGUUACACUGUGCCUUUUCUUUCGUCUUUCUUCUCUUGACCUCAAAUUAAAUUUGUUUUCAGUAAAAAGUUUUCUCUAUGGAGUAUAUCAUUUCAUCUCCAACAUAAAACACUCAAGAAGAGACUGAGGCAGAGCAAGGAUUCUAGACUCUAUUGACUUUAACCAAUGAAGUAGAGAUGCCUGAAAGUUUCCAACAGAUUGAAACUGAGAAGCACUAGACCAGAAAUCUAGCAGAUUCUGUGGGUCAAGAAUUCAGUCAAGGCACACUCCAAGGGACUGGACACCGAAAUGUUUCAAUCAGACUAUAAGAAGGCUGAGCUGAAGACUAGAAUUAGCUGAGGGCUGGCUCACUCACUUUUCUGGCAAUUGAUGUUCGCUGUUGUCCAAGAUCCACCUGGGGCCUCUCCAGUAGCCUGAACUUUACAAAUGAAGAUGGAUAACUUUCAUGACAUAUGCAUCUCUCAAGCAGACUGAAAAGAAAUUAUGUUUAAUAUUUACAUUUAAUGAAAUCAUAAUACACUGCUAAUCAAAUUGUUACCUUUUAAAUGGCUGAAUGGAAAAUCAGGGCUAAAACACUUGGAAGGAAAAGAAAAUAACUUCUAUAAUAUUUGUGACACAGACCUUAAAUUAGCAAAUUAAAGAACUCAUUGCAAUAAUAUAUAGCCCAGUCUGUUUUGAAUAUUUUUAGCAAUUGCCAAACUAUUUUUGAAUUCACUUAUAUAAGUUCAGGUUGUAAUCACAACUAAUUUAAAAGAAUCAUCCAAAGAUAACAAGAAUAGUAUGCUAUGUUAUUAUCCAGAAGGGACUGAAAUAAUCCUUUUUUUUAAAUGUUUAUUUUUGAGGCAGAGAGUGAGUAAGGGAGGGGGACACAGAAUCUGAAGUCGGCUCCAGGCUCAGAGCUGUCAGCACACAGCCCGACGAGGGGCUCGAACUCAAGAAUCGUGAGAUCAUUACCUGAACCAAAGUCAGAUGCUUAACCAACUGAGCCACCCAGGUGCCCCAAGAGACGACUGAAGUAAUUCUAAAUGAUGGCUUUUUAUUUUCAGUGUGAAAAAACCUCCCUGUUCCCACUUUAUGACUUUUAGAUUGUUAAUGAAAUUGUUUCUGUUUGACUGAAUAAUACCCCUUAUGGACAGAACAUACAUUCCAAGACCCCCAGUGGAUGCCUGAAACCACUGAUAGUACCUGUCAGAAAACACUAUGUAUAUACCACUGAACAAUAUAUAUACUAUGUUUUUUCCUAUACAUACACACAUGUGAUGAAGUUUGCUUUAUAAAUUGGGCAUAGUAAGAGAUUAACAAUAAUAAUAAUAAAAUACAAUAAUCAUAAAAAUAGCACUAAUAAAAGUUAAGUGAAUAUGGUCUCUUUCAAAGUGUCUUAUGGUACUUCACUCCCCCUUCUUAUUCUUGUCAUGAUGUGUGAUAAUAAAAUGUCUCCAUGAUGAGAUGAAGCAGGCUAAAUGAUGUUGGCAUUGUGUGGUAACAUUAAGCUACUAUUGACCUUCUGACAACACAUCACAAGUAUCAUCUCCUUCCUGACCAAGGUUGAUGGGGUAACUGAAAUUGUGGAAAGGGGAGGACUACUGCAUGUAAUAUGUCAAAAAAGGACUUCACGGAUGUGAUUAAGACAAUGGGAUUUGAGAUGGGUUGACUUAUCUUAGCUAUCUGGUGGCCCCAGUCUAAUCACAGGAGCCCUUGAAAGUGACACACUUUCCCUGCUGAGAUUAGAGAGAGAUGCCUCAGAGGAACUGGAAGCAGAAGAGAUAUAACAUUGUGAGAAGUAUUCCACCUGUUCUUGCUGGCUUUGAGAUAUACCAUUACCAGGAAGGAGGCCUCUGGGAGUUAAGGUGGGGCUGGGGUGACAGCCAGCAAGUAAACAGGACCUAUGCUGCAUGCCAACAACUUGAAUGAGCCUGGAAACAGAUUUUCCCCUUGGAUCUCCAGAGAGGAAUACAGCUCUGGCGAAACCUUGAUUUUGGCCUUGUCAGACAUGAGCAGAGAGACCAGCUGAGGACAUGGGACUUCUGAUCUACAAAACUGUGAAAAAUAAAUUCAUGUUGUUUUAAGUGAUGAAAUGCUGAGUAAUUUGGUACAGCAACAGAAAACGAAUACAAUGUUUUCUCAGCUUUUCUUAUGUGAAUU
Molecule: long non-coding RNA, 2859 nt
Organism: Acinonyx jubatus (cheetah)
Lineage: Eukaryota; Metazoa; Chordata; Mammalia; Carnivora; Felidae
Exons: 4
Source: RefSeq, a predicted model, not a curated record